Molecule: ribosomal RNA, 271 nt
Filed under: uncultured bacterium
Lineage: Bacteria
Description: partial small subunit ribosomal RNA
Rfam family: Bacterial small subunit ribosomal RNA
Source: RNAcentral
AGAAUCAACGCUGGCGGCGUGCCUAAUACAUGCAAGUCGAACGCGAGAGGGGCUUCGGCCCUGAUUGAGUGGCGAACGGGUGAGUAACACGUGGGUGAUCUACCUUUGAGUGGGGGAUAACGUUCCGAAAGGAACGCUAAUACCGCAUGACGUUCUGGGUUUGAAGACCUGGAAACCAAAGCCGGGGACCGCAAGGCCUGGCGCUUGGAGAGGAGCCCGCGCCUGAUUAGCUAGUUGGUGAGGUAACGGCUCACCAAGGCUGCGAUCAGUA